Molecule: non-coding RNA, 798 nt
Organism: Chelmon rostratus (copperband butterflyfish)
Lineage: Eukaryota; Metazoa; Chordata; Actinopteri; Chaetodontiformes; Chaetodontidae
Source: the annotation of a RefSeq genome assembly
CUGGAAGCCUUUUUUCCACACUGUUCCACUCAACUUUUUACCUCCACUAGAGGGCCACAUUAUCAAGCAGGCGCUGCACUACUUCUGCACUGUGUUCAACCAUCUGUCAAUAAUAACUGCUGCUGUGAAGAGAACCAUUCUCACUCUGAAUGCUGAACAUCAGCUACUUUCUCCUCUUCAUUUCAGCCUCGUUGUACACAUGGAACAUUGGCUGUGGAUUAUUCUUGCUGCUCUUUGCUUUGAGUGUAAAGGAGAAGACAGAGUGAUCCAGCCAACAGCAGAUGUCAUUGCUACUGAAGGAGGCACAGUUACACUGGACUGUACAUUUGAGACCAGUGACUCAGGUCCAUCUUUGUUCUGGUACAAACAGGAUGGAAACAACAGCCCCAAAUUCAUACUGAGUCGCGUUAAACGGGAUCAAGGGAACACACCAGACGAGUCCAAGGAGAGAUUUUCUUCCACACUGAAUUCCACCUUAAAAUCAGUUCCUCUGAAGAUCCAGAAGCUUCAGCUGUCUGACUCUGCUGUGUACUACUGUGCUCUGCAGCCCACAGUGACAGGAAACAGCAAAACUCUGCACAAAAACCUCUGCAGCAAACACAACACAAUACUCCACAACGUCCACUAGAGGGAGUCACACACUGUUCAACGUCAAUGGGAUGUGAUGAUCCAGUGUUGAAUCUUUUCACUCAUGAGACACAGCUGUGAUGAUGAGCUUCACAAAUGAAGACCAGUCUCCUCCUACUGACUGCAGAAGUGUUUCAUGAGAACUGUUUGUUUCCAGCUGUGAACAUCAGA